GGCGGUGUAGCUUAGCCUGGCCAUAGCGCUGGAUGAUUGCCUGACUGACUGGGUUACGCAGAGGUCGUGGAUUCAAAUUCCGCCACCGCCA
This 91-nucleotide transfer RNA is filed under the name Candidatus Woesearchaeota archaeon. Its description in RNAcentral is "tRNA-OTHER". It matches the Rfam family "tRNA". From Rfam's summary of the family: Transfer RNA (tRNA) molecules are approximately 80 nucleotides in length. Lineage: Archaea; Nanobdellati; Candidatus Woesearchaeota. The record is from RNAcentral.